AAAAACAUAACCUUUAGCCAAACAAAUAUUAAAGGCAACGCCUGCCCAGUGAACAAUUAAACGGCCGCGGUACCCUAACCGUGCAAAGGUAGCGUAAUCAUUUGUCUACUAAUUAUAGACCUGUAUGAAAGGCAAAAUGAGGGUUUAGCUGUCUCUUAUAAUAAAUCAAUUAAACUGAUCUCCCAGUACAAAAGCUGGGAUUCCGACAUAAGACCAGAAGACCCUGUGAAGCUUAAACUAAACUAUUAAAACACAUAAUAGCUACUUUCGGUUGGGGCGACCUUGGAAAAAAGAAAAACUUCCAAGACCCAGUAAAACUGAUAAAUGAACCAAGUUACUCCAGGGAUAACAGCGCAAUCUUCUUCAAGAGCCCAUAUCAAAAAGAAGGUUUACGACCUCGAUGUUGGAUCAGGACAUCCUAAUGGUGCAGCCGCUAUUAAGGGUUCGUUUGUUCAACGAUUAACAGUCCUACGUGAUCUG
This 480-nucleotide ribosomal RNA is filed under the name Masticophis flagellum (coachwhip). Its description in RNAcentral is "partial 16S ribosomal RNA". It matches the Rfam family "Bacterial large subunit ribosomal RNA", at positions 1809 to 2607 of the family's 2925-position model. Lineage: Eukaryota; Metazoa; Chordata; Lepidosauria; Squamata; Colubridae. The record is from RNAcentral.